AUUCUUUGCACGAUCAGAAAAUAUUUAAUUAAGUACCAAUAUUACAUUCUCCUAACAUGACAGUAAAUUUAGAUUUCAAUUAACUGUACUAACCUGCGAGACUCAGAUAUUAUAUCAUUAUGAAGUAAGACAUAGCGAUGUGCCUGUGCCAACGAUUUCUGGUCAAGAACAACACUUUCAACUUUUUUCAAAAUUCUUCCACCAGAUGAGAACUUAUAAACAUCUGCAUUCUCUAUGAUAUCACAAUUCCUCUUAGGUCGAUUGAAAACUGUUUUAAUACCUUCAAGAUAUCUCGAACAAAAUGUCAAACACUCCUCAGUAAUAUAUCCUUCAGCAAUCCAGCCCUCGGGAUAGGCUCGAUUGC
This 364-nucleotide long non-coding RNA is filed under the name Phoenix dactylifera (date palm). RNAcentral's name for it is "long non-coding RNA (PDAC_LNC006859)". The record is from RNAcentral. Lineage: Eukaryota; Viridiplantae; Streptophyta; Magnoliopsida; Arecales; Arecaceae.